CGGACGGCGCAAAAUAUGUAUCCAGACGUGGCUGUUUCGCUGAAGUUCCACAUAUUAUGCCAUAUUCACUUGGAUGCACAUUUUGGAGAUGUAGCCUCAAGUUGCUAGUUGUUGAAUGGUAAGCUAACGCUAGCUUACAUAGCUUACACACUACUUUAUCUGUAGGCUCAACAAGUUUACCAUCAACUGACCAAAAUCCGAAAUAUUUCCAGACAUCACUCUUUAUAUGUUUGGGGGUUACAAUCACGUUCUCUGCUGCGGUCAAGCUGGAUUCUGCACUUUCUGCAUCUUGCAAGUCAACUGUCAGCAGUGACUCUGUGCCAGACAGUGCGACUCCUGUGACCUGUCCCUGAUCUCAGGCACGCGCCCACCCGCAAAGCAGACAGUGCUGCCUCUUUUUUUUUUUUUUUUUUUUACAUUCGGAUAUUAAUUUUCACAUUCGAAAUUCUAUUUUUAACAACUAUUCGAAUAUAUAUUCGAAUUUAGAAUAUUCAUUGACAGCGCUAUUGUGUACAACCAGAAAAAAAGCUUUACACACCCUACAUUUGGAAAGAGCCUCAGAUUGUUCCUGGCUGAUUCUCUGAUACUUAAAUCGGCUGUGAGCUGUCAUGUUCUGGUCUACCCACAAUGUCUUCUGGGUCAAAGACCAGAUUUUAAAUUAAGUCUGAAGGCAGUCUACAUUGCCACAGUGCCAAUGUGAGAAGGAACUUUCCAAAUCUACUCCUAUUUACAAUAUGCUGAUCUUCAUUGGCCUCUGUAAUUAUGCCAAAUCCCUUAAUGUGCAUCAAAGAAAUGCUUACGUUUGAUGUAUAUUAAGCUCUUAUGCUAUUAUAUUUUUUUUCCAUCAGCUCCUGAUGCCAGUUCUUGGACACCAAAGACUAUUUUCACAAUGUCCAUUGAGUUCCAUUUGUCUUGCUGGUUCAUAGCUAAAGCCCUUAGGUAUAUCCAAACAUGAUAUUUGUUUCUAAGAAACACACACUGUCAUCAGCAGGCAAGACGGACAGGCCACUGUGAGCCUCUAUUUAAUUUACAUCUAGCAAACUUUGAGUGACAUUGAAUGAACACUCUCAAGCUG
Long non-coding RNA from Clupea harengus (Atlantic herring), 1075 nucleotides. Lineage: Eukaryota; Metazoa; Chordata; Actinopteri; Clupeiformes; Clupeidae. The record is from Ensembl.